Long non-coding RNA from Pungitius pungitius (ninespine stickleback), 289 nucleotides. RefSeq lists it as uncharacterized. The transcript is spliced from 3 exons. NCBI's taxonomy places the organism in Eukaryota, Metazoa, Chordata, Actinopteri, Perciformes, Gasterosteidae. The record is from RefSeq and is a predicted model, not a curated record.
CCGGAUUUAAUUUUUUACACUGCUAACUACACACCUAUGCUUACAUCCACACAGACUCAACCAAGUGGAAACACUUUGGACGAUGCCCCGUGCAAAGUCAUGCCACCAGUCUGAGGCCAUCAAUGGGAAUGGCACAUGGGACACGUGGUUUUCAACUCCAGCGAGCACACGGCAAAGGUUGGCGUCACCGUGGGCAAUCAUGGCAAAGACCCAAGUCGACUGGACUAGAGCGGAAAAUGAUCCUUCCAGACAAGUCUCCAGAGAAGAAGAAGUUAUUUACUUCUACAAU